Bufo bufo (common toad) is the source of this 176-nucleotide long non-coding RNA. RefSeq lists it as uncharacterized. The record is from RefSeq and is a predicted model, not a curated record. Lineage: Eukaryota; Metazoa; Chordata; Amphibia; Anura; Bufonidae. The transcript is spliced from 3 exons.
CGGUGCUGCCAAUAACAGCGCCAUAAAUUGCAAAGUGGCUGUGCUUGGUAUUGCAGCUCAGCCCCAUUAACUUCAAUGGGGCUGAGCUGUGCCUAGGCCAUGUGACUGAUGAAAGUGACGUCAUGUGGCCUAGGGAAAGUUGGAGAACGCUGGUGCCUUCUCAAAACAGCUGAUCG